Homo sapiens (human) is the source of this 602-nucleotide long non-coding RNA. Ensembl annotates it as long intergenic non-protein coding RNA 1591. The record is from Ensembl. Lineage: Eukaryota; Metazoa; Chordata; Mammalia; Primates; Hominidae.
UGGUCACUCUCUUGGGCUUGAAAUGGAACAGAUCUUCUUGUUCCAUCUCUUUCUGAUAGCGCCAGUUCCUGCUGAGGACAGAACAUUGUCUUCUUUUCUCCCUGCCUCAGGCAGAUGGCAGGGAGUGUUGUGUGUUCCCACAAAGGAGCGUGCUGUCCCCGCUCCCGAGUCUCUCAGCGAGCCCUGUCAUGGAAGGCAUCCAGGAGAAUGUGGAACUCCGCACCCGCUUUCUCAGAACAGAGGAGCAUCCAUGACCCUCAGAAUCACAGCAUUGAGAGGUAUGUAUCAACUCCAGGUCUCUGCAUUUGUCCGCGUUCUUCACUGUCAUGUGGCUCCUCCCGAUGUGAUAGCAAAGAUGCCCGUGGACAAACCAGGCUUGGGUCCAUCAUGUUGGCAAUCUGGAGGAAGCCGAGCACUUUUUCUCCAACUGACUCAGUCCCAGGACUGGCUCUCAUUUGCCCAGCUUGUGCAGUGCUCAAUGUUACAGCUUCAAACAUAGAAGAUACAAGAAGUAAAUGCUGAGAUUUCGCUAUUUGUUAACCUAUCAUGUGAUGAACCUAUACAAAUUGUGUAAAGCAAAUGUUUUCAGGCAUUGGAUGUCA